UUACUUCCUGAAGGCCACAGAACAGGCAA
Molecule: non-coding RNA, 29 nt
Filed under: Rattus norvegicus (Norway rat)
Lineage: Eukaryota; Metazoa; Chordata; Mammalia; Rodentia; Muridae
Source: RNAcentral